GCCAUAGGGGACCCCCAAGUCAUGUUCUAUAUAUCUCAUUGUAAUUCAAUCCUGACCGGUCAUGAUUACAAUCCUGGCCAAGUCAGGAUUUCAAACCUGACCUGGCCAUGAUUUUCAAUCCUGACCAUCCAAUCUUGACCGGUCAGGUCAUGAUUAUAACAUGGCCACCCAAACCUGGUCGGUCAUGAUUUCAAACAUAACCAAGCCAGGAUUGAUAACCUGGCCAUCCAAUCCUGGUCAUGAUUAUCAAUCCUGGCCAAGUCAGGAUGACCUGACCAUUCAAUCCUGGUCGGUCAUGAUUUCAAACAUGGCCAAGUCAGGAUUGAUAACCUGGUCGGUCAUGAUUUUCAAUCCUGGCAAAGUCAGGAUUGCAUUGCGCCAGGAUAUAUGACUUCCAAACGCAGUCAAGAUUUCUCAAGCGUCGCCAAGAUUGCCCUGGCCAAGUUGCAUGUUCGAAUGAUUCAAACAAAAAAAAAAACGCUGUCAAGAUUUCCCAAGCGUCGCCAAGAUUUAUUACCCAAGAUUUUCGCUGAUGAAGAUUUAUUAGGCCAAGAUUUUCAAGGACUUAGAUUACAUCAUUCUAUCUGCACAUGCUGCAUGCCGCUGACGACUCAGAAGUUAUUGUGAUAACAAGGUGGGUGGUUUGUGUUUUUCGUUCAGUUAUAUAGAUCAAGUCAUUAUGUUUCUACAUCGCUUUCGCCUUAAAUGUAUUUAAUUAAUCAUUACGCUACUCUCUAUAAUUAAUGUAUGUGUGCCUAUCGAGGAAAUUCGAGUCAAAACCAAAUUCGCUCAUCUCAUAUUUUAUAUGUUGACAGUGCUACCGUUUGAGCGAGCGCAGCUUCUUGUAUGUACAUAUUUUGUAAUGUUCAUCCUUUGAUCAGGUUCAAUUUAAACAAUAUCUAUUUGCCAAAUACUCAUGACAUGAAUUUUCUCUCGGGGUUUUAUAUAAAAAAAUCAUUAAAACAUGUAUGUACAUGAAUGUGACUGAAAUAUUUUUAUGCUAUAUAUACAUUUUAUUUCUACUGCCUUCACUAUGACUUGCUUAACCUUUGAUGCACGACACUGCUCUGGACUGUAUGCUCUCAGCAGUCUACUGCCUCUAUACGUAUUUCUUUUUUUUUUAUUCUCAAUCUUUUCAAGUUACGAAUUGUAUGAUAAAAAUGCCCAAACCUUUCAAGUUUGUAAAAUUGGGUUUAAACAGCACUGCCUUUGAAUAUAAAAUGCAUUUCAAUAUAAUGAUAAUUUAAACCCCCCCACCACCACCACCACCACCACCAUGCGCACCUAUCUGAUUUUUAAAAAAUAUGAAAUUCAUAUGAUAAUCUCCUUGUAGCAAUGGUAUGUUCCAAAAGAGAAAAUUAGAACAAUAUUAAUUUAUAAUGAAGCAAUCUUCUUAGGGUUUUUGUUACUGAUCCCUGCUUCACACCAAAGCACGUAGCGGGAAAAACUAUACAGAAUAAAAUUAUUUCUAAUAAUCCUUAAGCGGUAAAGAAAUUGAUAAUUUACAAUCAUUUAUUACAUUUAACUUUAUAAGCUUUCAUCAAAAAUAAAUAAAAACCUCAUACAUGUAUAGACAUAUAAUUUACCCAUCAAUGCAGCCACUGAUGUGUAUUCCAAAGGGACUCAACUUGUCAUACUGGUCUAGAAAAUAAUGAAGGUCCUGAAUGCAACAAUAUUAAUAUGAUACAAAAUAUUUGUCAGACGAGUCAGAUUGCAUGCUCAAUCUUAAUUUUGAUACUUGUAUAUAUAUUUGAUAAAUAAUUUUUUUUGGUUUCAGUUAAAUCCUUAUAUUCCCUGUCUAACUCUUAAUCUCAGAGCAGCCUUUACCUGGUCAUAAUUUGAAGAAAACUUCUGUAUAUCACAUGGACUAAGACUUCUUGCCCAUUGACAUGACUGAUUUAUUUAACCUUUAAACGUAUCCCCAGGUCAGGAUUUGAAUUAGCUUAAAUCUACCAUUAAAGUCAUAUACUAGAUAAAGAUAAAAAUUAAUACAUGUACUUGCAUAGUAAUAUUGAGCGGACAGUAUAUUCUUAUGUCCAGUUUGACCCUUGACCUUUGACCAUGUGACGUCAAAAUCAAUAGGGGUUAUCUUCUUCUAAAGAUAUACCAGUGUACCAAGUUUGAUGACUGUCAAGCAAAGGGUUCUCUAGACAUUGAGCGGACAGUAUAUUCCUAUGUCCAGAGUAGAUUGACCCUUAAACUUUGACCUGAAUAGGGGUUCUCUUCUAUACUCAUAACCAACCCACAUAUUAAAUAUUAUGAUCAAGUGAAUGGUUCUCAAGAUAUUAACCGGACAACAUGUGGUCUACCAACCAGCCAACAGGUGCAAAGUAAUAUGCCUCUCUUCUUUGAGGGGGGAGGGGUGGGGGGGGGGCAUAAAAAUGCACUACCCAAAUGGUACCAAAUAUUUUUUUCUUAUUAGAAAAUGCAUUAUAUUUGUGAAAAAUGAAAACAUAUAUUACCUACGUACAAUGUAUCCAUAUAUAACUCUUAAUCUAAAGAACAUGUCUGAUAUGCUUCUGUCUGGUUUCAGAUGCAUUUCAAGCUGAAAUAAAUAUAUAUAAAUAAAUAGCUAUAAAUCUAACUGCUUAAAAAAUCUGAAUUUGAGAAACUUUCAUAAUCAUAAAUUAUUACAAUGCUUUCAAAUUAUAUCUUGAUAGACUAGUGCACUUACAGAAUUAAUCUGAAAACUAUGUAAACUGAUCUUAAUUAUCAUGAUUUAAUUUCUACAUGCUCUGAGAAAUUUCAAAAACAAUGAAGAAUGAUAUUUGAUAACUCGUACAGUCAGGGUCAUUCAAUAAUACUGGACAUUCAUUUCUAGUCUGUGACUGGAUCUAGCCAAGAAAUAGUCAAAAUAAUUCUUCCAUAACAUUGAAGGUCCAAAGUUUUUAGCUCACCUGAACCGAAGGUUCAAGUGAGCUAUUCUGAUCACAUUUUGUCCGGCGUCCGUCUGUCUGUCCGUCUGUCUGUAAACUUUUCACAUUUUCGACUUCUUCUCCAGAACCACGGGGCCAAUUUCAACCUAACUUGGCCAAAAGCAUCCUUGGGUGAAGGGCUUUCAAGUUUGUUCAAAUGAAGGGCCAUGUUCCUUUCAAAGGGGAGAUAAUCACAAAAAUGCAAAAAUAGGGUGGGGUCAUUUAAAAAUCUUGUUCUCAAGAACCACUGGGCCAGAAGAGCCGAAAUUUACCUGAAAGCUUCCUGACAUAUUGCAGAUUCAAGUUUGUUCAAAUCAUGGCCCCCGGUGUUAGAAUGGGGCCACAAGGGGGGAUCAAAGUUUUACAUACAAAUAUAUAGGGAAAAACGUUAAAAAUCUUCUUCUCAAGAACCACUAAGCCAGAAAAGCUGAGAUUUACAUGAAAGCUUCCUGACAUAAUGCAGAUUCAAGUUUGUUCAAAUCAUGGGCCCCUGGUGUUGGAUGGGGCCACAAUAGGGGAUCAAAGUUUUACAUACAAAUAUAUAGGAAAAAUCUUUAAAAAUCUUCUUCUCAAGAACCACUAAGCCAGAAAAGCUGAUUUUUACAUGAAAACUUUCUGACAUAGUGCAGAUUCAAGUUUGUUCAAAUCAUGGCCCCCGGGGAUAAGAUGGGGCCCCAAGGGGGGGAUCAAAGUUUUACACACAAAUAUAUAGGGAAAAACGUUAAAAAUCUUCUUCUCAAGAACCACUAAGCCAGAAAAGCUGAGAUUUACAUGAAAGCUUCCUGACAUAAUGCAGAUUCAAGUUUGUUCAAAUCAUGGGCCCCUGGUGUUGGAUGGGGCCACAAUAGGGGAUCAAAGUUUUACAUACAAAUAUAUAGGAAAAAUCUUUAAAAAUCUUCUUCUCAAGAACCACUAAGCCAGAAAAGCUGAUUUUUACAUGAAAACUUUCUGACAUAGUGCAGAUUCAAGUUUGUUCAAAUCAUGGUCCCCGGGGGGUAGGAUGGGGCCACAAGUGGGGGGGGUCAAAGUUUUACAUACAAAUGUAGAAAAAAGCUUUAAAAGAACCAUUGGGCCAAAGAAGUUGACAUUUACAUGAAAGCUUUCUGACAUAGUGUAGAUUCAAGUUUGCAAAGGGUAGUUUGGGCCAUAAUAGGGACCAAGGUUUUACAUGCAAAUAUAUAUGGAAAGUCUUCAGAUAUGGGCCAAGGUGACUCAGGUGAGCGAUGUGGCCCAUGGGCCUCUUGUUGUUAAGGUCACUUAAUUGCUAUCUGUUUUUGUCUGUCGCUGUGCAUAUGUGCAGGUGUGUGUCAUUUGUAAACUUCUCACAUUUUCAAUUCAUUCUCAAGAACCGCUGAUUAAAAGCUGAUUUCAAUUACACUUGCCACAAAGUAUCCUUAGGUGAGGGGAAUUCUUUUUUUUUCAAAUGAAGGGUAGUGCCCCCUUCCAAGGAGAGAUAAUCAAGAAAAGGUAAUGUCAUUAAAAAAAUCCCUUCUCAAGAAGAGUUGAAUCUUAUCUGAAAGCCUCCUGACAUAGUGUAAAUUCUUUUCUUUUUUAAAUCAUGGCCCCUGGGGGUAGGGUGGGGCCACAGAAGUGGAUCAAAGUUUGACAUAGGAAUAUAUAGGAAGAAAUCUUAUAAGAUCUUCUCAAGAAGGCCAUGGCUGGCCAUAUUAAAAUUGGGAGCAUCCUUAAAUUGUUCCGAUUCCAGUUUGUUCAAAUCAAAACCCCCAGAAGUACGAUGGUUGAAAUAUUACAUACGUAAGUUUUUAAAAAAAAAAAUUGGCUAUAUAUCACAAUUAUUAGCUAUAUCGAAUCUGUUAUAACAAUGCAAGCAUGACUCCUAUUAUAUCAUCUGUAUAGUUCAUUUAUUUGAGCAUUAUAACCUGUGUGAUUGAUUUUCUAUUUUGAGGUAUGAAGUUGAUGAGUUCAAAUUAAAAUACAGCAUCUGUGGACUGUGGAGCUAAGAGAUUUUAAUAUUUUCCUGCACAUUUUCAGACUCUAGUUCAGUAUUGUUACAUGCAAAUUAUCAGGACAGAAUUGGAGGAAGUGAAAUUUGCUUGGAAUAACCAUCGGAUCAGGAAGCAAAAAAUGGGAGAUGUUGUUCCUGGGAUUCCAGAAUUCCUUUAUCAUGUUCCAGAAAUGUUAGGUAUUCCAAUUGUGAAUGACGAAAAGUUUAAGUUCCUAAAGGACCAGUGCUGUUUUAAAAAUGACUUGGAUAAGGACAUUCAAGAAUCUCUUGAUGUUAUAUGCGACCAUCACCGGCCUUCAUCAGUAUCUGAAGGCAAAGCAAUGUACAUUUCACUGAAAGAUAUAUUGGAACAGUAUAUUUAUCAGUAAUUUAUGAUGUUUUGGACUUUAUGGCAAUUCUGACAAGUUCAAGAUCACCGACAGAAUUUUUCAAAAAUAAAAUCCAGUUAAUGAAUCUAGAAUGGAUAAAUAUUGGAAUUUGAUACUUCAAGCAAAGAUUAAUAUGAGCUAAAGAUAUUUUUUCGUUUUAACUUUGUCUGAAGGUAAUUCGGACAAGUUAAGGUCUUAAGGCAAAAAGUGUUAAUUUCAUGUCAGUCCCAUAACUUUGUAUAGGGGAUACUCUGCAAGUUUAUAUUGCAUAUAAGAUUACUUAUGACCAGAGAGUGUCUCAUUAUUUAUUUUUUUGUAACCAGGGUGAUUUUGGCAAGUUUGUGGUCACUUGUAGAAGUUUGUGAGCUCACAGUGCCUUUAGUUUUUUGUUUUCUUAUUAUUGUUAUAUGACCUCCUGGUCUUUUAUGUUUCCACUGUUGGAUGGUUAUUCUAUGCAAAUUUCACUUCUUCCCAUACUUUUUGCCAUACUCUAUUUAUGUGUCUUAAGUUUUGUAGACAAUUUUUGUAUUUCUUUUUUGUCAGCUUUUCAAUAAUUUGACCUUUCAUUAUGACCAUCUAUGAAAGAAAUUAUGUAUAUUAUGGAACAGUCUGUGCGAAAAGGUAAACCCGACGAUUGCCUCCAAGUGAUCACUGUAAUUGAAACUUUGUGUAAAAACAAAUUUUCGUAUUCUUAAGAGUGAUUUUCUUCAGAGAAAGUUUAUUUGGAGAUUUUAGAUUCUUUAUGGUGAUCCCCCCCCCCUUCCCCCGAGAAUUCUAUUGUUGAUAUACUUUAAAUUAUUAGUAGGAAACCGAUGAGUGAUAGCCUACCUCAUAUGACGUAUUAUGGUAUGGCGUCGUCCGUCUGUCUGUCCGGACCUUGUGGGCAGGAUACAGACUGAACCAUAAGCCCUAGGACUUUACAACUUGGUACAUUUGAUCACCAUGAUGAGAGGAAGAUGCCUAUUGUUUUUCAAGGUCAAAGGUCAAGGUUGUAGUAUCACUUAUUAGGAAAACCUUGUGGGCAGGAUACAAACAGAACCGUAAGCUCCAGGAUAUUAUAACUUGGUAUAUUUGAUCACCAUGAUGAGAGGAAGAUGCCUAUUUUUUUCAAGGUCAAGGUAAUAGGUUUACUUAGUAGGAAAACCUUGUAGGUAUACAGACCGAACCGUUGGGGCUAGGAGUGUCAAAUUUAAUAUGCAUAUACCUUAUUCCAAGUGGAGGAAGCCUAUUGUUUCUCAAGGUCAAAGGUCAAGGUGGUUGUAGCAGGAUACAAAUAAAACUGUUGUGGCUAGGAAUGCCAAUACUUUUCUUUUUCAAGUUUAAAAGGUCAAGACUGUUAGAUGGCAUGCUUCACUUGAUAAUUUGGUGCCAAGUAUAGCUUGUGAACUUCCAAGUUAUACUUUAUUUCUAUAUAAUUUGAGAUUCUCCUGCAAAAAAAAAUGGUGAUCUGCCUCUACAAAAAUAGUUAUGUUCAAUAUUUUUGACCAUUUCAAACUGAAACUAAUUACUGAAAUAAACACAUGAAAUCAAAUUGUAUUGCAUUUCAGUAUACUGUACCUGUACUUAUACUUUAGCACUAACUGUUUCAAGCAAAGGUGUGUGGUAUAUUAGCAUAUUUAUGAAGUAGCGCAUUCUAAGGCUAUCCCUCUUUAUAUCUUGAUAUCCAUUUCUACAAGCAUAAUAAUGAAUUAGCUCAAAGAGGACAGUGCUAACUUCACUAAAAUAUGAAUCCCACUAAAAUAUGUUUUCCUUGAGCAAAAUCUACGGGCGUAUUAUGCCACGUUGGCGUUGCUCUUGUUAUACCAUCUUGACCUGUCACUUAGUCAUCUUGAGUUGUUCCCCUUUGAUUGUGCUAUGAUUUUUAUGUCGAUCUAGUAUAUCUGGUUGUUGUGACAAUAAUAAAUUCUUGUCUUGUUAUAUGCAAGUCCUCAGUCAAGUUGUAUAACAUUUUGCUUGUUUAUUUAUUGAUUCAAAUGAAUAAAUGUAUUAAUUUUA
Molecule: long non-coding RNA, 7244 nt
Organism: Ostrea edulis (European flat oyster)
Lineage: Eukaryota; Metazoa; Mollusca; Bivalvia; Ostreida; Ostreidae
Exons: 2
Source: RefSeq, a predicted model, not a curated record